Molecule: non-coding RNA, 356 nt
Organism: Pelobates cultripes (western spadefoot toad)
Lineage: Eukaryota; Metazoa; Chordata; Amphibia; Anura; Pelobatidae
Source: the annotation of a GenBank genome assembly
GUGGGUAGGGGGGCUCUAUAGUGGAUAAGGGGGCUGUGGAGUGGGUAGAGGGGCAGUAUAGUGGGUAGGGGGCUGUAAAAAAGUAAAUACCUUUCAGUGUCCUCUUAGUCCGGUGGGCAGCUUCCCAGUAACGCGUGUAUGGGCGGAGCUUGUGGGCGGGGGCGGGGCUUCCAUUUGGGGGCGGGGCAUGCAGCCGGAAUGAUUUCAGACUGUGCAGGGAGACUGACAGGUCUCCCUGCAGCCGCUGGCAGCCGCACCACCCCCCAGCUACUCCCUCCUCCCUCCCCUCGGACUGACAGGCUGGCACAGUCCGAGGGGAGGAUUUAUCAGAAUAAUCAUUAGGGCUGUCAGCCCAG